Drosophila virilis is the source of this 3993-nucleotide non-coding RNA. The record is from RefSeq and is a predicted model, not a curated record. Lineage: Eukaryota; Metazoa; Arthropoda; Insecta; Diptera; Drosophilidae.
CUUGUGUUUGUGACUUGACCUGCUUCGUUUACCAUGGCAUUUGGUUAUAGCCGUAAGCGGCUUUAAAGUUACGUUUACCGUUGCCGGUUGCCUGUUGCCUGUUGCUUUUGACUUGCCCUCAAGGAACCAAGGCGGCCAUGUGAUAUACGAGGUAUUCCAGUCAGAACAGCAGCCAUUGUAAACAGUUUGCUUAAGCACAUAGUUUGUUUAUACUUAUUACUUGAUAAUGCCCACUGAUAUAUGGCCAGGGUAUUAUAUCUUUAUGAGGAAGUAAAUCCGACAGCUGCACUCGUUCGCAUCUUGAUAUCUAGCUUAUACAGUUUACACAUCCAAUAUGUGUACCAUAUAUGCACAUAUAUUUAUGUAUAUGUAUAAAACAUGUGUUAUAUACACAUUUGUCCGCUUUUUGACUUGCGGACUUGUGCUAAGUUAGUUCUUACCAUAUUUGCAACAUUUCCCAAACAUGCCCAAUAAACAGUUCAAUCGGGUAAGAAAAAUUCCCUUCUUGUAUUUCCGGCUGUCUGACGGUUGGCGCCCAGAACGACCGAGGAACUUUCCUUGCGCUGCUUAAAUUUCCAUGGAACACACUGACGAGCUGAGAGCCACUGUCAGGGCAGAGAACGGGGGUAUGGCAGGGAGCUCGGCUGGGGCUCCAUUUCCAUUUCACAUGGUCAUGCGAUUUCCACGUACGCCGCCAGCUUCUCAAGUGGCAGCCAGUUGAACGCGCACCAAUAGGACGCACCGCCCCGGGCCGGCCCCCGUGCACUCGUUGUGCGCCUCGGUGAUAAUUUGAAAAGUUUAUAUGCCGUCGACUGGCUGCCGCAGCCUAUACAUGAAUCCAGUGCCAGAGCUGCUGUAGCUGUAGAUGGAGCUGCUGCAGCAUUCUAAUGACAACUUAAAUAAACAACUGCACAAUGCCAGGAAGGGAAACGGAGCAGUUCAAGUUGUUUUCCCAUCGUCGAGGGCGGCGCAUUGUGUGGAAAUAUUUAUUUUCUAUAAAUUAUUUUUGAUUAUCGCGAGCUGAGUGAACUGAAGUAAAACCUCCCCACCCCAACGAGUCCAGCCCCAACCCGACGCCCAAACUAAAUAAAUACAAUGCGCUGCAAUUAAAGCCAAACAAAAUGCAUAAUUUCUGGUCAUUUGCCCGGCCCGGCGAUAGGCCCCCAUCGCGAGUCUGUGCGGUCGGGGGCAGGGGGCACAAAGUUAUGUACAACGCAUCCGCUAAUGGAAUUUUAAUGUUUCAUUCGAAAUAGUCGCAUUCGGCGCAUAAAUUUGGCUUUGCUCAAAUCAAUAUUUACUUGCAGCUUUUUUUGUGGAGUAUUGUUAAUAAUAAUGGAAAAUGUUCGAGGCAUUUACUUGGAAAAUGUCUACCUGUUUGAUUAACUUGGCGCCGCAAUUCCAACGAAUUGAGAAAACUUAAUUCCGAAUAAAAAGUCAACUUAUAUAAUGAAAAUAUACAUAUAUCUUCCCAGGUAGCCAACAAAUCUAACCACUUUCUCUGAGGCGGGCGCUUUUUUUAAAUAUUAAAAUUAAAAUUAUAAAACAACGCAACGUAUGUGACAUGGUAGAAUAUAUUGAAACGAUAAAGAUUUAGUUAUUAAUGUACUAUUUUCUUGAGUCUGUCCAUUUGUGAGGACAUUCAUUCAAUUCUGUAAAGGACCUUUUAUUUGUGUUUAUUUUAUUGGCAAUUCUAACAAGGCAAAAAGACGAGCUACGUAUUAACGAAAAGCUAUUCCUCAGAGCAUUACUUCCAUACCAUAAUCUAAGAGAAAAGCUGGCAGCAAGUUGCAACUUAACCUGGGAACUUGGCCAAGCUGCCUUCGCCUUGGCAACUAUGCAAUGUGCGCACAUCUGAAAUGCAUGCAAAAUAUAACGCGUCCUGGCUGAUCUCUGGCAAAACAACAUUAAAUUGAAACAAAUUGAACAUAAAAAGCAUUCAAAAUAAAGCAAACACCUCACCGACGACGACGACGAGGACGACGAUGAAGGCGAUACCAGGACCAGAGGCAGCCCCUGAAUCAGAAGCGUAGCUGGGACGAGAAUGAGGUGCUGCCAAAGUAAAUACACAGUCCAACACCAACACCAACUCACGCACACUCACACACACACACACACACACAACUGGAGUUAAAAGUUUGUGGAUGGGAAGAGGAAUGGAGAUGGGUUACUUUGGUAGUUUGAAAAUAGAACGCAAAAUCAAGCAAAGGUACACAACAGACUAAAUGGAGGAAGAGCCCGGCGAGUGAGAGAUAGAUAGAGGGGCGAGGCAACAGACGAGACACUGACAGACUGACAGGGAAGGAAACGGAAGUAUUUUCUGUUGAUACUGAACUCAAUUUAGACGAAAUCAAGUCAAACAUGGCAGCAGCAGCUACCAGGAGCUGAGCGGUGUGUGAGCCAAAAGAAGAGCGCAAAAUGUUGUAGUAAAUCAUGUGGGAGCCAAAAGGUAAAUGGAGGAGCUGGGAGCGAAUGCUAUGCACUUGGCGUGUGUCCAAAAGAAUGCUCAAGACGAUGUCGCCUCCGACUCCGCUACCUACAAAGUUGCUUAACAAAAAAACUCGAGGCCUGAUUGAUGUUUGUGCUCCUAGUUGUUGUUUGCAGACAGGACAACCAAUCCGAAGACCGAAGAUGCCAUUCAAUUUUCGAUUAAAGUCUCGGUAGCUGGCAGCAAAUUGGUUUGCCCAUUGGUUCCAUUGGUCGCACUAAUCAGUCGCAUGUCCAAAUAUUUAUGCCCAGCCCCAGCACCGGGUGUCAAGCAGCAGACAAUAAAACUUCGCUGUGAAGGAAAGUGAAAGUCAGCGCAAAGGAUACACAAAGAAUAGUGCAAGGCUAGCAAAUAGGAUGUUGUUAUGUAUCCAUUAUCCAGCCAUAUACCUCGCUGUCCGUACAGAGGGGUAUUCUUAGUCCUCGAUUCUAAGUACCUUGGCACAAGAUAUGGAUAGCACGUUAGCUAAGAUAUCUUUUAGUUGAUCAAAUUUCGAAUUUUCACUUUCCACUUGUAUUGGUUUUUUCGCCAUCCUUUUGCGAGUCACAUUUAAUGGGUUUAGCAAUGCCGGUUUUUUUCGGCCUGCUUCGUACACAACGAUUUCCUUUCGUGGGGGGGUUUCGAUGGUCAGACAAUGGAUCCGGGUUAGGGAACAUUCUGCCAGCGACACCAGGGCACAUAGUCCAGUGCGGACACAGGCUCAGCAUGUGGUGCAAGGACUUGUGUUCCCUCUCUCUCUCUCCCUCUAUCUCCCUCUAUGUUGCUCCUUCUCUCUCUCUUGUGUGGGCUGUCCACACUUUCACUGGCCGCUCUAUUUACAGUUUAGGCCAGCGAGCAGCACAGCGCAGGAUUUGCUGGGAAUUGUGUUUGGUAAACAUUUUCGACUCUGUUGUUUUUAAUAAGAAAAUUGGCCAAAGGCCACACACAACAGUAACAAGAACAAAGGGACUGGCAGCAGCAGCAGGAGCAGGAUUUCGAGUAGAAGCUGGAUAAAGGGCGACUGCCUGGCAGAUUGCUUUUAAAUUUAAGACCCGCUCAGUUUCAGUUUUUAUUCCAUUUAACUUAUGUGUGUUUGUGUGUUUCUUGGAGAUUUAUGUUUGUUUGUUUUGGGCUUGGGCUUGGAUUUGUGGGUCAAGCCGAGCGAGGACGAGUAAAGCGUUUACGAGAAUUAGUUGGUCCGCACAUUGAUAGAGUUUCAAAAGGAUGGCCGAUGAGUCGGAAAGAAAUGAAUUUUUCGGAUGCUUGCUGAAUAAAUAAACCAGAGCCAACCAGAUUCCGACCAAGCCAAAGAGUAAACAACAAAAUCAAGAUGACAUUUCCCAAACCGAUAAGAAAUCUGUAAUAAACUGCGAUAAAAUCUGUGUGUUUUCCUAUUUUUGGAAAACUAAUUCCCAAAUCAAAUGCAAAUAUGCAUUGAAUAUUUUCAUAUUAAAAUGUAAAUGUAAAUAAAAUAUGAAAAUAAAAUAUGUUUGAGAACGAGAACAUCAAAAGCCAGCCAGCAAUAAAAA